CGCCCAGUCCCUGUUCUGCGAAAACAAGAGAGGAGAUGAGAGAGUUAGAGUUUCAGUUUUAAAAAAAGAAAUAGAGAGAAAGAGAUAGGGGAAAAAGAGAAAGAGAAGAAGGGAGGGAGGACUUAUCUUCUCCGGUGACGACGACGCGGCGGCAUCGGCAGCGGCGACACGGCGGCGGAAGCACCGAGCUGUUCCUGGUCGGCCGGAAAAGAGGAAAAGAGGGGGAGCUCAGAUCUGGAGCCUACCUUCCCGGCGAGGCAAGGCUCGGCCUCCACCGCAAUUCCAGCCAGACGAACGACGGAGGAGGCGACGGACGGCGGCCGAGCUCCUUCACGGCGAGGCGCAUGCAUCGAUUCCG
This 358-nucleotide long non-coding RNA is filed under the name Salvia miltiorrhiza (redroot sage). RNAcentral describes it as "long non-coding RNA (SMIL_LNC002790)". The record is from RNAcentral. Lineage: Eukaryota; Viridiplantae; Streptophyta; Magnoliopsida; Lamiales; Lamiaceae.